Molecule: ribosomal RNA, 468 nt
Filed under: uncultured bacterium
Lineage: Bacteria
Description: partial 16S ribosomal RNA
Rfam family: Bacterial small subunit ribosomal RNA
Source: RNAcentral
GACGAACGCUGGCGGCGUGCUUAACACAUGCCAGUCGAACGGAAAGGCCCUGCUUUUGUGGGGUGCUCGAGUGGCGAACGGGUGAGUAACACGUGAGUAACCUGCCCUUGACUUUGGGAUAACUUCAGGAAACUGGGGCUAAUACCGGAUAGGAGCUCCUGCUGCAUGGUGGGGGUUGGAAAGUUUCGGCGGUUGGGGAUGGACUCGCGGCUUAUCAGCUUGUUGGUGGGGUAGUGGCUUACCAAGGCUUUGACGGGUAGCCGGCCUGAGAGGGUGACCGGCCACAUUGGGACUGAGAUACGGCCCAGACUACUACGGGAGGCAGCAGUGGGGAAUAUUGCACAAUGGGCGGAAGCCUGAUGCAGCAACGCCGCGUGCGGGAUGACGGCCUUCGGGUUGUAAACCGCUUUCGCCUGUGACGAAGCGUGAGUGACGGUAAUGGGUAAAGAAGCACCGGCUAACUACGUG